UAGUCCACGCCGUAAACGAUGUCAACUAGCCGUUGGGAGCAAUUAAGCUCUUAGUGGCGCAGCUAACGCGAUAAGUUGACCGCCUGGGGAGUACGCCGGCAACGGUAAAACUCAAAUGAAUUGACGGGGGCCCGCACAAGCGGUGGAGUAUGUGGUUUAAUUCGAUGCAACGCGAAGAACCUUACCAGGACUUGACAUCCCUUGAACUUCUCAGAAAUGAGUUGGUGCCUUCGGGAGCAAGGAGACAGGUGGUGCAUGGCUGUCGUCAGCUCGUGUCGUGAGAUGUUGGGUUAAGUCCCGCAACGAGCGCAACCCACGUUUUUUAGUGCCAUCAUUAAGUUGGGCACUCUAGAGAGACUGCCGGUGACAAACCGGGNGGAAGGUGUGGACGACGUCAAGUCAUCAUGCCCCUUAGUUCUGGGGCUACACACGUACUACAAUGCUUCGGACAGAGGGCAGCGAGCCAGCGAUGGGUGAGCUAAUCCC
RNAcentral lists this ribosomal RNA (486 nucleotides) under uncultured bacterium. RNAcentral describes it as "bacterial SSU rRNA". It matches the Rfam family "Bacterial small subunit ribosomal RNA", at positions 791 to 1275 of the family's 1533-position model. The record is from RNAcentral.